RNAcentral lists this long non-coding RNA (548 nucleotides) under Rhinopithecus bieti (black snub-nosed monkey). RNAcentral's name for it is "lncRNA (ENSRBIG00000045340.1)". Lineage: Eukaryota; Metazoa; Chordata; Mammalia; Primates; Cercopithecidae. The record is from RNAcentral.
UUUGUGACCCAAAGAGGGCCGAGUCACACAGAUAAAUAGGACACCUCUGAUGGCUUCCACUCUGGACAGCAGCAAUGACCCCAGCCACCCUCACCCCAAAGCCAGGGAAACAUCAUCUUGUCAUCUCUGGAUUUUUCCUCACCCCCUUGGGUUAAAGCUGAGCAGACAGGGUGGCACUUCUGAAUUCAGAGGCUGCAAUGAGCUGAGAAAAACAAGCUUCUGUGGCCCCCUCCAGGACCCACCAGGUGACACACACAGCAGCAAGUGAGCCCUGCAGACAGAGACAUCCCAGAACCCCAGGCCUGGGACCAGCGCUCAGGAGCCAUCCUCUCAGCUAGAUUGCCUUCAGCCUGCCGGGAGGAGGAGCAGCCCAGCCUAGACUGAAAGCCUCCAAGGAGGAAGUUCUACCUGCUUCUCCAUGCCUCCAGACCCACUGUACCUUGUGCAUUUCAUCUGGAAUUUUCUUCUGUUGAAAGGAAGGUGCUGGGUGGGAGGAGGAGGGAGAGGAUCAGAAAAAAUAACUAAUAAAUACUAGGCUUAAUACCUGA